AUUUUGCAGACGAGCUGGUCAUCGGAACGACUGACGAGCACUGACAGUACUGCAUGACUACGCAUAAAAAGGCUAAGUAUGGAUGAAGAAAAUAACCAAAGAAGUAGGAGGAAGAAAAAAGAAAAACACCACCACCAUAGGAGUCACAAGCACAGCCAGCACAGAUCAAGGUCCCCACUUGCAAGCCAUAAAAUACAGCUGUAGAAAC
Long non-coding RNA from Saccoglossus kowalevskii, 208 nucleotides. RefSeq lists it as uncharacterized. The record is from RefSeq and is a predicted model, not a curated record. Lineage: Eukaryota; Metazoa; Hemichordata; Enteropneusta; Harrimaniidae.